AGCUGCCACUUUUCACCGUUAGAAGUAGAGCUUUUUCCAGACCUCCUACCUUUUAGUCUACUUUGAAAGGUGAAAGAAAGAACAGCGUUUCAGGAAUAAAAAUGCACAGUAGUAGUUAUAGUUACCGUAGCAGUGAUUCUGUGUUUAGUAACACUACCAGCACUCGAACCAGUCUUGAUUCAAAUGAAAAUCUUCUCUCGGUUCAUUGUGGUCCAACACUGAUCAACUCUUGCAUUAGCUUCGGCAGUGAAUCCUUUGAUGGACACAGGUUAGAAAUGUUGCAACAGAUUGCCAACCGAGUUCAGAGGGACAGUGUCAUCUGUGAAGACAAACUGAUUCUUGCUCGAAAUGCUCUUCAGUCUGUAAGUUAAUUUUAGGAGCCAUUGGGGUUGUGGUAGAGGAGUGACUGUGCGUUUGGAUGAACUAAAACUUUUGCAUAAUGUUUGGUUGAUUCUUGGUAAUACUCUCCACUGAAACUUAAAGUUUGUUAAAGAUUAUGAUUGGUGUUUGCUCUCUGAGAGACAAGAAGAGGGAAAACAUAUUUUUGAACCAACAAGGAAAACUAAAGAAAGCCCAAGUAGGCU
RNAcentral lists this small RNA (584 nucleotides) under Pan troglodytes (chimpanzee). RNAcentral's name for it is "retained intron". Lineage: Eukaryota; Metazoa; Chordata; Mammalia; Primates; Hominidae. The record is from RNAcentral.